Molecule: ribosomal RNA, 253 nt
Filed under: uncultured bacterium
Lineage: Bacteria
Description: partial 16S ribosomal RNA
Rfam family: Bacterial small subunit ribosomal RNA
Source: RNAcentral
UACGGGGGGUGCAAGCGUUGUUCGGAAUUACUGGGCGUAAAGGGCGCGUAGGCGGUUGGAUAAGUAAGCUGUGAAAACCACGGGCUUAACUCGUGGCCUGCAGUUGAGACUGUCUGGCUUGAGUGUGGGAGAGGAGAGUGGAAUUCCUGGUGUAGCGGUGAAAUGCGUAGAUAUCUGGAGGAACACCGGUGGCGAAGGCGGCAUCCUGGACCGGCAUUGACGCUGAGGCGCGAAAGCUAGGGGAGCAAACGGG